ACUUAGCGUGGGUUAAUCUGUUUGAAGGGGCAGGAAAGAAAUGGGAACAGGAAAGAUGUGCUUAAUGGGGGAGAGGAGGUAAGAAAAGAAGCAGAAGAUGGAGAGCUACCUGGGAGGAGAGGUCUGGGAGAAGCCACAGGGGAGCCUCACAGACACCAUGGCAAAUAAUGAGGAAGGGGAAUCCAGGGGCUCUACCGAGUUGCUGGAAUAGUUGGUGUGUGUCAGAUAUUAUCGUAAGACUUGGGGAAGGUAAUCCUGGGCUUUUCAAGAUGAGUGGAGAGAAAAUGGCUCUAUCUAAUUGGCCCUUACACAGAGACCAGCCCGCUUCAUAGUUCAAGAUAUAAACCUGCCACACAUAUGAAUGUAAACAGCUGUAGAUACAGAGUAUUUUACAAUUGCACGCUUUCAAGUUAUUAAAAUUUCUGGAUUUGUUUAAUUUACUCAAAUUUACCUCAUUCCAAUUAAUAGUGAAUUUUAAAAAAUCAUAUCAAAUCCAGCCCCACUUGUUCAUAGUAUAAGGAUUUCAAAAAGUCUGAAAAUUUCUCCUUUAAUCUGUUUUGUUUGUUUUGUUUUUGAAGGGAGGAUCUGGACAUUUUAUUACUGAUAGAUUAAAAACACAAUACAAUUUUUGGUGUAUUUAGACUGUUCACAUUUAAGUAAUUAUUCAUAUAGUUGGAUUAAUAUUUACCAUACUUGGAACUGUUUUCUAUUCAUAGCCCUUGUUCUUUACUUCAUUUUCUCCUCUUCUUCUCCCCUCUCUAGUUUUAAAUGAGUAUUUAAUAUUGUUCUUUUUUCUCUCCUGUCUUUGCAUAUAAAUUACACUUCGUUUAACUUUUUUAGUGGUUGCCCUAGAGUUUGCAAUAUACAUUUACAAUUCUUUCAAGUCCACUUUCAAAUUCUUUGAUGCUAUACUGCUUCACAGGUAGUUCAAGUAUCCUGUAACAGAGUAUUCCCAGUUCUUCCCUUUAAUCCCUUAUAACAUUUCUGUCAUUCAUUUUACUUACACAUAAAUUAUAAUGACUGAAUAGAUUGUUAUUAUUGAUAUAUUUUUAAAUGAAAUGACUGUAUAGAAAGUUAAAAUACCAAUGAUUUGAUCUAGAGUUUUAGACUCUUUAAAUGUUUUUCUUUCCUUCUUAUCUUCCUUGUUUUCUCUCUCCCUCCUAUGCUCUUCAUCUUCUCUUUUUUUCAUCACCCGCUAAUACCAUAUUUGUUUCUGAUUAUUUCUUUUAAGAAAAAUGUUUAAGGGCUUUCUCUAACAGAACUCUCCAUGAUUUCAUUCUUAUCUGUCCCUCUUUGAAGAGAAGCAAACAAGAUUUUGCUGUUUUUUAUAUGCAUG
Pan troglodytes (chimpanzee) is the source of this 1336-nucleotide long non-coding RNA. NCBI's taxonomy places the organism in Eukaryota, Metazoa, Chordata, Mammalia, Primates, Hominidae. The record is from Ensembl.